AACGAACGCUGGCGGCAGGCCUAACACAUGCAAGUCGAGCGAGGACUUCGGUCCUAGCGGCGGACGGGUGAGUAACGCGUGGGAACGUGCCCUUUGCUUCGGAAUAGCCCUGGGAAACUGGGAGUAAUACCGGAUGAGCCCUUUGGGGGAAAGAUUUAUCGGCGAAGGAUAGGCCCGCGUUGGAUUAGGUGGUUGGUGGGGUAAUGGCCUACCAAGGCGACGAUCCAUAGCUGGUUUGAGAGGAUGAUCAGCCACACUGGGACUGGGACACGGCCCAGACUCCUACGGGAAGCAGCAGUGGGGAAUCUUAGACAAUGGGGUAAGCCCUGAUCGAGCCAUGCCGCGUGAGCGAUGAAGGCCUUAGGGUUGUAAAGCUCUUUCAGCUGCGAAGAUAAUGACGGUACCAGCAGAAGAAGCCCCGGCUAACUCCGUG
RNAcentral lists this ribosomal RNA (433 nucleotides) under uncultured bacterium. Its description in RNAcentral is "partial 16S ribosomal RNA". It matches the Rfam family "Bacterial small subunit ribosomal RNA", at positions 29 to 507 of the family's 1533-position model. The record is from RNAcentral.